Molecule: non-coding RNA, 128 nt
Organism: Hordeum vulgare subsp. vulgare (domesticated barley)
Lineage: Eukaryota; Viridiplantae; Streptophyta; Magnoliopsida; Poales; Poaceae
Source: Rfam
AAUAUACUCCCUCCGUCCGGACAAAUAUACUUGUCGCAAAAAUGAUAGAAAUGGAUGUAUCUAGAACUANNNNACAUCUAGAUACAUCCAUUCCUCGGACAAGUAUUUUCGGACGGAGGGAGUACUAU